UACCAGCACCCCCGAGUGGUCGGGACGUUUAUUGGGCCUAAAGCAUCCGUAGCCGGUUCUACAAGUCUUCCGUUAAAUCCACCUGCUUAACAGAUGGGCUGCGGAAGAUACUAUGGAGCUAGGAGGCGGGAGAGGCAAGCGGUACUCGAUGGGUAGGGGUAAAAUCCGUUGAUCCAUUGAAGACCACCUGUGGCGAAAGCGGCUCACUGGACCAUUACUGACGCUGAGGCACGAAAGCUAGGGGGAGCAAACAGG
RNAcentral lists this ribosomal RNA (255 nucleotides) under uncultured bacterium. RNAcentral describes it as "partial 16S ribosomal RNA". It matches the Rfam family "Archaeal small subunit ribosomal RNA", at positions 474 to 727 of the family's 1478-position model. The record is from RNAcentral.